UAAGGAAUAUUGGUCAAUGGACGCAAGUCUGAACCAGCCAUGCCGCGUGGAGGAUGAAGGUCCUCUGGAUUGUAAACUUCUUUUAUCUGGGACGAAACACUUCUUUUCUAAGAGGCCUGACGGUACCAGAUGAAUAAGCACCGGCUAACUCCGUGCCAGCAGCCGCGGUAAUACGGAGGGUGCAAGCGUUAUCCGGAUUCACUGGGUUUAAAGGGUGCGUGGGUGGGUAUGUAAGUCAGUGGUGAAAUCCCCGAGCUUAACUUGGGAACUGCCAUUGAUACUAUAUAUCUUGAAUACCGUAGAGGUAAGCGGAAUAUGUCAUGUAGCGGUGAAAUGCUUAGAUAUGACAUGGAACACCAAUUGCGAAGGCAGCUUACUAUGCGGUGAUUGACACUGAGGCACGAAAGCGUGGGUAGCAAACA
Molecule: ribosomal RNA, 422 nt
Filed under: uncultured bacterium
Lineage: Bacteria
Description: bacterial SSU rRNA
Rfam family: Bacterial small subunit ribosomal RNA
Source: RNAcentral